Octodon degus (degu) is the source of this 134-nucleotide small nucleolar RNA. Lineage: Eukaryota; Metazoa; Chordata; Mammalia; Rodentia; Octodontidae. The record is from Ensembl.
UGCUUCCUUCUGGAUUAAAAUGGGCAUUUUUGAUUAGUGUCCAAAAGUGGUCAUUGUGGCUGAAAGUGAGACACAGGUUACGUGUCCAUCACAGUAAGUGUAUUACAGUGGUGACAUUGAAACCUGUAACAUUU